GGUUUGGCUUCUCUCUUUGGCAUUUUUACUAAGGUUAGUUCGACUUUUCCUUUUUUUUUUUUUAGUUUGUAGGUUGUGGACUGAUAAAGCAGUGUCUUUACCAGGGAUUACUAAGUAUGUUAGAUUGGUACCACCAAUCCAUUCUUGAAUGAUUUGUGAUUGUCUACCUGAACAUCUUCUUCCAAUAAUGGACACACUAACAACAUGAACCCUCAGUAUUUUGCAAUGCAUUCCGGGCAUACAAGAACUGGAAUUUUUGUUCUUGCUGAUUCUUUCUAUGUUUUUGUAUCGUUAUUCUGUUGUUAGAAAAAGUUAUUUAAAGUUUCAUGUACAACAAUUUCCAUCUUGCUGGGUAGCUCCUUAUAUUAUUAGGAGUAGUUGGAUGAAUGUUUAGUAGUCCGGCACAUUUCAAUCUCUGCCGCAGUUCGUCCAGGCAAUUUUCUUCCAAUCAAAUGCCAUCUGAGCUUUAAUAAAAAAAAGGUCAUUAAACUCUCGAAAAACAAUAUUAGUGUGUCGGCUUUAUUAAAUGAUAACUGUGUUCUUGUAUGGUCUUUAAUCUUAGCAUUACAUUUAUUUAGAUUUAGAUUUAUUUAUUAUUUAUUUGUGAUCUAUUUGGUUUCCACUAGGGUUGUUAUUGGUUGCUUUACGUUUAUUUGGAUUUGGAUGUAUUUGUAAAUUCAAAGGGAUGACUGAUAAAAUAGGUUCCCUAAAAUUGGUGUUUUGUUUUCCCCCUUUGUGGCAGUUCUCUAAUAUUUAUGGUUGUGGGUUACAGUGGAAAUGUCUUGGUUUGAUUAUUGUGAUGGAGUUGGGAGACCAACAACGGCAGGUUCGUAUGUCUGUAACAUAUGGGAUAUGGUGGUUGAUGUAUAUUUAUUGUACAAGAAAUAUAUUGCGUGUUCUUUAAUGAAACCUCUGUGUAUGUGAUAUAAUAAAGAUUGUUACUGCUUUACCGUUCUUGCUCUAUAAUGUUGGCCCUGCUUGGUUACCCCGCAAAAAUUUGCAUAAAAUUUAGCCUAAUUUAAUAUGCUUGAAACUCUUGAUAAUUAGUUUUAUGAACAAAAUUUAUGCAAAAGUUUUGUGCAAAAAUUUUACACCUUUCUUUAAUAAACUUAGUAGGGGACCAUU
This 1125-nucleotide long non-coding RNA is filed under the name Aquilegia coerulea. RNAcentral describes it as "long non-coding RNA (ACOE_LNC001627)". The record is from RNAcentral. Lineage: Eukaryota; Viridiplantae; Streptophyta; Magnoliopsida; Ranunculales; Ranunculaceae.